Triplophysa dalaica is the source of this 1374-nucleotide long non-coding RNA. RefSeq lists it as uncharacterized. The record is from RefSeq and is a predicted model, not a curated record. The transcript has 5 exons. NCBI's taxonomy places the organism in Eukaryota, Metazoa, Chordata, Actinopteri, Cypriniformes, Nemacheilidae.
UGCACAUCAGGUUGUAAAUCUCAAUUGGAUUAAUGGAUCACAACCACAACUAUAGACACAUAAGAACAGGACAGUGCUAAGAUGCCCAUUCUGAAACCGCCAGCGAGUGUAAUUCACUCACCGCAUAACAACGGUAAAGGGCCUCUAGAAACAUCCAGACCAUUGUGAGCAAAUCCCUCGCAACAACUGAACCGACAAGCAAUUGUCGACAUGGAUCAGUUUAUCAUGUUCUCAGUUGCUCUUGGUUGGCCAGAUGCCCUUGGAUCCCUCAACGAAGCCAAACCCCCUACCCUAACCAGGACCGUUUUCUGUGCCAUACAGUGCUGUCAGAUGGGUCUGCACCAACUCAACUACACACUCUCUCCCUCUUCAAACCUGCCAGUAGUUUGGAGUCGGUGAGGUUUCUUCACCGCUUGUUGUCACAUAUGGUGUGAUUCUGGUGUCUGAGAACAAACAUCUUUCAUUGGAUACAGGGUCAUUGAGCGCCGUUCCCACAUACGCUGUGUUCCUGUUUGACAUUCCAGUCUAAGACAGGAGAUGGACAAACAAACAUGGCCAGUCAGCACCCGGAAUGUUCUGUGUCCGAAGAAGGUUAUGUAACACUGUUUCCUGGUUGCCCUGGAGACGGAGGCUGCCCCUCUCUUCACCUCCCUGCCAGCCGUCUCCUGUCUAAAUCCUUCCGAGUAAAUGGCAGAGGAGACAGUGGGAAUUCAUAAACAGAUUGAUAGUCUGUUUUGUUUAUGUGCGUGUUUGUAUGUAUACAGAUAAGCAGUGUUACGCAUUGCAAUUUUUAUACAGAGAAAGAAAGAUAGGGGUUUGGACAUAAGAUAAAAACAGCAACUGGUUAAGGAUGUCAUUACCUUGCUAGAUAGAGUUUGUGAAAUUUGUUGUUGUUUAUAAAGCCCCACCCCAUCUGCCAAUGUAACCACCAAUGGUUCAGUGUUGACAUUUAUAGUUUAAUGAAAAACAAUGUUUAUUUUUGGUUUCACUUUAAUAAUUCAUUUUUUAACAUAAAUGCAAAUACAAUGCCUUUACAUUUAUUCAUUUGGCAGACGCUUUUAUCCAAAUAGACUUACAUUGCAUUAUCCUAUACAUUUUGUUUCUAAGUAUGUGCAAUCCCCUGGGAUCGAACCCACAAACUUGCCGUUGUUAGUGCCAUGCUAUUACCACUGAGCAACAGGAAAGCUAAAAACAAUAAACAAAACCCCCAAAAUAAAUCUGUUGCUCUUUGCUUAAUUCACUUUAAUAAGUCAUUUUCAUUACAGACUUCAAUGAGUACCUUUUAGGUAUAAUUGACUAACCAUAAUGUUUUAUUCAUAAGUAACUAUUCAUUACGGUUUAUAACCAUAGCACUGGCUGACACUGGCUAUUAAA